CGGUAGAGAGAGCUUGCUUCUCUUGAGAGCGGCGGACGGGUGAGUCAUCCCUAGGAAUCUGCCUGGUAGUGGGGGAUAACGUUCGGAAACGGACGCUAAUACCGCAUACGUCCUACGGGAGAAAGCAGGGGACCUUCGGGCCUUGCGCUAUCAGAUGAGCCUAGGUCGGAUUAGCUAGUUGGUGAGGUAAUGGCUCACCAAGGCUACGAUCCGUAACUGGUCUGAGAGGAUGAUCAGUCACACUGGAACUGAGACACGGUCCAGACUCCUACGGGAGGCAGCAGUGGGGAAUAUUGGACAAUGGGCGAAAGCCUGAUCCAGCCAUGCCGCGUGUGUGAAGAAGGUCUUCGGAUUGUAAGCACUUUAAGUUGGGAGGAAGGGCAGUAAAUUAAUACUUUGCUGCUUUGACGUUACCGACAGAAUAAGCACCGGCUAACUCUGUGCCAGCAGCCGCGGUAAUACAGAGGGUGCAAGCGUUAAUCGGAAUUACUGGGCGUAAAGCGCGCGUAGGUGGUUUGUUAAGUUGGAUGUGAAAUCCCCGGGCUCAACCUGGGAACUGCAUCCA
RNAcentral lists this ribosomal RNA (565 nucleotides) under Pseudomonas sp. RNAcentral describes it as "bacterial SSU rRNA". It matches the Rfam family "Bacterial small subunit ribosomal RNA", at positions 67 to 629 of the family's 1533-position model. Lineage: Bacteria; Pseudomonadati; Pseudomonadota; Gammaproteobacteria; Pseudomonadales; Pseudomonadaceae. The record is from RNAcentral.